Molecule: microRNA precursor, 81 nt
Filed under: Mustela putorius furo (domestic ferret)
Lineage: Eukaryota; Metazoa; Chordata; Mammalia; Carnivora; Mustelidae
Description: miRNA (ENSMPUG00000021288.1)
Source: RNAcentral
AGAAGGGAGAGGAAGAAAUGGCUGCUUCUCAGGUAAAUCUUACCCUGAUGAGCUCAGGAACGGUGUCUUCCUUUCUUACUG